AUGGGUCCCGCGGCGUCCUGCGUCCCGGUGGCGAGUGGAGGGCGAGGAGGCAGAUGGGGUCGCGGCGACAGGAGCGUGUACACCUACGGCUGCACCUCAAGGCCGCAGGCUUCCAAGCUCGCGCCAACGAGCGAUCUCGCGCCCAAGGGUCAAGCCAAAUCUGAGAUAGAAUGGAUGGAAGAGGGCUAUCUUGAUAAAAUUGUUCAUGGUGAUUGUGCCAACGAGAUUAAAGUUGGUGAAGUAUACAUCUACUGCCCAAAGAACGUAAUUUGUUUGAUUCUGGAAGAAGAAGGUGACAGAGAUAAGUUCAAAGGUUACAAACCGUCGGCUGCAGAUGUAUCAAAGGCUACGAGAGAACCUCCCAAGCCUAACAAUGAGGUCCAACUGUCAAGUGUAAAAGGCACCGGUCCUGACGGUGGUAUUCUGAAGGCAGACAUUGAAGAUUACUUGGCUUCUGUAGCCAAGGGUGGCAAGAGCGAGUCUUUUGCAGCUUCAGGAUUAGAUUGCACUGAUAUUCCAAAUGCGCAGAUAAGAAAGGUUACUGCAGACCGCCUCUUAGCCUCUAAAGAAACCAUCCCACAUUACUACUUGACAGUUGACACACCCGUCGACAAACUUAUCAAGUUGCGAGGGGAACUGAACCCACUGCAGGAAGCAUCUGGUGGAAAGAAGAUAUCUAAAGACCUUGUUAGAAAGGAUGCAGACAAGACAGGACUUGCUACAAUCGGUGAGGAGGUGAAGCAGUUGGCUCAAAGAGCGAGGGAUAACAGCUUAAGACCACAAGACUAUGAGGCAUUUAGUGAUUUUCCAGAUUGUUUCUGUAGUGAUAGGGGAGGCUACCCUGGGUCUAAUAAUGGAAAAUGCAAUUAUAUCUCGAAGAUGAAUUUUUAUCUCAGGGCUGGUUCCAUGAGUGAUGAUGUGAUACUAGUUUCUGAUGGAGAGGAAUCAAGUAAUUAUUCUCUUCGAUUUGAAGAGUUAAAGGGUUUUAAGAAUUCCUCCAACAGCUCAAAGGGCCUAGUGCAGAAGAUAGACAGCGACUAUUAUACUGAGGGAGUUUCUCAGGUGUUUCUACAUCUCUGUGGCACAACAAUUUCUCAUCAGGAAAAUCUGUACACUUCAAAUGUGAAUAUGUUAAUGAAGGUGGCAUGUGAUAAAGUGGGUGUAAAAUCCAAGGAUUUUUACUCAAUUUAUUGUGGAAAAGUGUUGGAUCCUGAGCAACUUCUAUCCUAUUAUAAGAUAAACAAGGAUUCAAAAAUCAUAAUUAAUCCAAGACUCAGAGGUGGCUGUGCUGGUCACAACUGGGAUUAUGUAAUCAGUGAUCUGGAUCCAUACCAGCGUGUGCCUUUGCCAGGGGACCUACUUCUCCCGGAACAGGCCAUCAUACAGCCACAAAUGGAAGUUAAAUAUCUGGCACGUCUCCUCCAAGUUCGAUGUAAAAAAGUGCUAAUCUACCUGUGCCGGAAGCACUUUAGUGGCCAUUCCUUCGGAGGUAACUUCAGUUCCCAGCAAAUUAUGUUUGACACCGAUGGAAAUGUCCGUAUCGAUGCUGCCCCAGAAGAAUAUAGUCGGCCUUCUGCCUUGUUGGACUACAAUGCUGUUUCUGUAAUCUUUGACCGGGCCUUAGGAGACGCAGCUGACAAAUAUCCAAUGGAUUUUCAUCAUCUGAUUGCGUUCUUGUCAGCUAAAGGUCCAAAUGUUGACUGUCAAAGUAAGGCAGUGAUUGCUUUUGUCACAAAUCACAUUUCUCUCUUGACAUAUUCUGAAAGGAUCAAUCACAGUGCAUUUCUGGACCUUUUGAUUAAAAGGCUUGGUGAAGAUGAUCUAACCGCCUUGAUAAAAGCUCUCGCGAAUUUUAAUUGGGAGAACAGGUUGAGGCAGAUUCCAGCAAUGGAUAAAACGUACACUUAUAUUUGGUGGGAAGAUGAUGAGGGGAACAUACGGUACCCGUACAAGAAUAAUGGAGUCAGUUUGCUCGCGUUUUCUCACAAUUUCUUCAAACACCGCUUAGGGUUCCCAUUAGAUAAGCUUGAAGCAGCGUUCUCAUUGGUGGUGGCUGAGAAAUAUUUUCUAGCACAUAUGCUGUUUCAAAUUUUAGUUAGAUUCAAAAGCAAAUGCCAGCAGCCAUGCCCUGCAUCGAUUGAGACUUUUGUUGAUGAAGUGAUUCAAAUGCUUGGUGAUCACACAGUUGAUUGUGAGAUGGUCCAAAAUAACUGA
Molecule: ribosomal RNA, 2214 nt
Filed under: Triticum aestivum (bread wheat)
Lineage: Eukaryota; Viridiplantae; Streptophyta; Magnoliopsida; Poales; Poaceae
Description: partial small subunit ribosomal RNA
Source: RNAcentral